RNAcentral lists this ribosomal RNA (255 nucleotides) under uncultured bacterium. RNAcentral's name for it is "partial 16S ribosomal RNA". It matches the Rfam family "Bacterial small subunit ribosomal RNA", at positions 524 to 776 of the family's 1533-position model. The record is from RNAcentral.
UACGUAGGGCGCAAGCGUUUGUCCGGAAUUAUUGGGCGUAAAGAGCUCGUAGGCGGCUUGUCACGUCGGGUGUGAAAGCCCCGGGGCUUAACCCCGGGUCUGCAUUCGAUACGGGCUAGCUAGAGUGUGGUAGGGGAGAUCGGAAUUCCUGGUGUAGCGGUGAAAUGCGCAGAUAUCAGGAGGAACACCGGUGGCGAAGGCGGAUCUCUGGGCCAUUACUGACGCUGAGGAGCGAAAGCGUGGGGAGCGAACAGG